This 268-nucleotide ribosomal RNA is filed under the name uncultured bacterium. RNAcentral's name for it is "partial 16S ribosomal RNA". It matches the Rfam family "Bacterial small subunit ribosomal RNA", at positions 793 to 1055 of the family's 1533-position model. The record is from RNAcentral.
GUCCACGCAGUAAAACUGUGAACACUAGGUGUAGCGGGUAUUGACCCCUGCUGUGCCGAAGCUAACGCAUUAAGUGUUCCGCCUGGGGAAGUACGGUCGCAAGGCUAAAACUCAAAGGAAUUGACGGGGGCCCGCACAAGCGGUGGAGCAUGUGGUUUAAUUCGACGCAACGCGAAGAACCUUACCUGGGUUUGACAUCCCGGGAAUCCCCUGGAAACAGGGGAGUGCCCUUCGGGGAGCCCGGAGACAGGUGCUGCAUGGCUGUCGU